CGGAACCCCAAACCAAAAACAACCAAGAAGGAAACCCGAACAGGGGAUAAUCCCAGAAGGGUGAAGAUGCCUGUAAUGGAUCUUCAUUUAAAGGCUCCGGCGCCUAAGGAUGGSUCUGCGGCAGAUUAGGUAGUUGGUAGGGUAAUGGCUUACCAAGCCGAUAAUCUGUACGGGUUGUGAGAGCAAGACCCCGGAGAUGGAACCUGAGACAAGGUUCCACGCCCUACGGGGCGCACAGGCGCGAAACCUCCGCAAUGCACGGAAGUCGACGGGGGGACCCAAGUSCCACUCUUAACGGGGUGGCUCUUCUUGAGUGUAAAAAGCUUUUGGAAUAASASCCGGGCAAGACCCGUGCCACCCGCCGCGGUAACACCGGCAGCUCAAGUGGUAGCCAUUUUUAUUGGSCCUAAAGCGUUCGUAGCCGGUUUGAUAAGUCUCUGGUGAAAUCCCACAGCUUAACUGUGGGAAUUGCUGGACACACUAUUAGACUUGAGGUUGGGAGAGGUUAGCGGUACUCCCAGGGUAGGGGUGAAAUCCUGUAAUCCUGGGAGGACCACCUGUKGCGAA
Molecule: ribosomal RNA, 567 nt
Filed under: uncultured archaeon
Lineage: Archaea
Description: bacterial SSU rRNA
Rfam family: Archaeal small subunit ribosomal RNA
Source: RNAcentral